Molecule: ribosomal RNA, 468 nt
Filed under: uncultured bacterium
Lineage: Bacteria
Description: partial 16S ribosomal RNA
Rfam family: Bacterial small subunit ribosomal RNA
Source: RNAcentral
GACGAACGCUGGCGGCGUGCUUAACACAUGCAAGUCGAACGGAAAGGCCCUGCUUUUGUGGGGUGCUCGAGUGGCGAACGGGUGAGUAACACGUGAGUAACCUGCCCUUGACUUUGGGAUAACUUCAGGAAACUGGGGCUAAUACCGGAUAGGAGCUCCUGCUGCAUGGUGGGGGUUGGAAAGUUUCGGCGGUUGGGGAUGGGCUCGCGGCUUAUCAGCUUGUUGGUGGGGUAGUGGCUUACCAAGGCUUUGACGGGUAGCCGGCCUGAGAGGGUGACCGGCCACAUUGGGACUGAGAUACGGCCCAGACUCCUACGGGAGGCAGCAGUGGGGAAUAUUGCACAAUGGGCGGAAGCCUGAUGCAGCAACGCCGCGUGCGGGAUGACGGCCUUCGGGUUGUAAACCGCUUUCGCCUGUGAUGAAGCGUGAGUGACGGUAAUGGGUAAAGAAGCACCGGCUAACUACGUG